Molecule: ribosomal RNA, 450 nt
Filed under: uncultured bacterium
Lineage: Bacteria
Description: partial 16S ribosomal RNA
Rfam family: Bacterial small subunit ribosomal RNA
Source: RNAcentral
GUGGGGAAUAUUGGACAAUGGGCGAAAGCCUGAUCCAGCCAUGCCGCGUGUGUGAAGAAGGUCUUCGGAUUGUAAAGCACUUUAAGUUGGGAGGAAGGGCAGUAAGUUAAUACCUUGCUGUUUUGACGUUACCGACAGAAUAAGCACCGGCUAACUUCGUGCCAGCAGCCGCGGUAAUACAGAGGGUGCAAGCGUUAAUCGGAUUUACUGGGCGUAAAGCGCGCGUAGGUGGUUUUGUAAGUUGGAGGUGAAAUCCCCGGGCUCAACCUGGGAACUGCCUCCAAAACUGCAUGACUAGAGUACGGUAGAGGGUAGUGGAAUUUCCUGUGUAGCGGUGAAAUGCGUAGAUAUAGGAAGGAACACCAGUGGCGAAGGCGACUACCUGGACUGAUACUGACACUGAGGUGCGAAAGCGUGGGGAGCAAACAGGAUUAGAUACCCGUGUAGUCC